Molecule: ribosomal RNA, 253 nt
Filed under: uncultured bacterium
Lineage: Bacteria
Description: partial 16S ribosomal RNA
Rfam family: Bacterial small subunit ribosomal RNA
Source: RNAcentral
UACGUAGGGUGCAAGCGUUAAUCGGAAUUACUGGGCGUAAAGCGUGCGCAGGCGGUUCCAUAAGACAGAUGUGAAAUCCCCGGGCUCAACCUGGGAACUGCAUUUGUGACUGUGGGGCUAGAGUACGGUAGAGGGGGAUGGAAUUCCGCGUGUAGCAGUGAAAUGCGUAGAUAUGCGGAGGAACACCAAUGGCGAAGGUAAUCCCCUGGACCUGUACUGACUAUCAUGCACGAAAGCGUGGGGAGCAAACAGG